GAAUGGGAGGUGAGGUCGCGGAACUAGAACGUAAAAAUGCAGCACAUGGAUGAAGCAAUGAAAUUAUAUGCUAACGGAAAACAAUCAUUAUGAAACAUACUAAAAACAAAACAAAUAAAAUUAAACAUUUACGUAGACCACAUAAAAUAAAAAUUUUACAAAAUUUCACAAAUUCUUAUAUUAAAUUAUCAGUUAACAAAUUCUAUCUGUUCAAAUCUAUUUGAAUCAUGACAAAGUGGCAUUAACCAACUUUAUAGAUAAAGUUUCCACCAACACAGCAAAAGCUUUUCAGCAAUAAGCAAAAAAUGUGAGGCAGGACAUGCAUGCAAGUAGGCAUGCACAUAAUAAAAGAAACGAACCACCAUGCAGUAAGCAUUUCACAAUUUUGUUCCAUUCUCUGAAUGCUUAAAUUUAGUCUCUGUACUUAUCGGA
Molecule: unclassified non-coding RNA, 432 nt
Filed under: Hevea brasiliensis (rubber tree)
Lineage: Eukaryota; Viridiplantae; Streptophyta; Magnoliopsida; Malpighiales; Euphorbiaceae
Source: RNAcentral